GAAGAGAUGGCUGAGUGGUUGAAAGCAACGGUUUGCUAAAUUGUCAUACAUAACAAUGUAUCGUAGGUUCGAAUCCUAUUCUCUUCA
Molecule: transfer RNA, 87 nt
Filed under: Synarthrophyton chejuense
Lineage: Eukaryota; Rhodophyta; Florideophyceae; Hapalidiales; Hapalidiaceae
Description: tRNA-Ser
Rfam family: tRNA
About the family: Transfer RNA (tRNA) molecules are approximately 80 nucleotides in length.
Source: RNAcentral